AUUGAACGCUGGCGGCAUGCUUUACACAUGCAAGUCGAACGGUAACACGCCUUCGGGUGCUGACGAGUGGCGGACGGGUGAGUAAUGCAUCGGAACGUACCCAGAGGUGGGGGAUAACGCAGCGAAAGCUGUGCUAAUACCGCAUGUGAUCUGAGGAUGAAAGCGGGGGACCGAGCAGCAAUGUUUGGCCUUGCGCCUUUGGAGCGGCCGAUGUCGGAUUAGCUAGUUGGUGGGGUAAAGGCCUACCAAGGCGACGAUCCGUAGCUGGUCUGAGAGGACGAUCAGCCACACUGGGACUGAGACACGGCCCAGACUCCUACGGGAGGCAGCAGUGGGGAAUUUUGGACAAUGGGCGCAAGCCUGAUCCAGCAAUGCCGCGUGCGGGAAGAAGGCCUUCGGGUUGUAAAACGCUUUUGGCAGGAACGAAACGGUGUCCGCUAAUACCGGGCGCUAAUGACGGUACCUGCAGAAUAAGCACCGGCUAACUACGUG
Molecule: ribosomal RNA, 492 nt
Filed under: uncultured bacterium
Lineage: Bacteria
Description: partial 16S ribosomal RNA
Rfam family: Bacterial small subunit ribosomal RNA
Source: RNAcentral